UGGGGAAUUGUUCGCAAUGGGCGCAAGCCUGACGACGCAACGCCGCGUGGAGGAUGAAGACCUUCGGGUCGUAAACUCCUUUCGAUCGAGACGAAUGGCCUCCGGGUGAACAAUCCGGAGGAGUGACGGUACCGAGAGAAGAAGCCCCGGCUAACUCCGUGCCAGCAGCCGCGGUAAUACGUAGGGUGCAGGCGUUAAUCGGAAUUACUGGGCGUAAAGCGUGCGCAGGCGGCUCCUUAAGUCAGGUGUGAAAUCCCCGGGCUUAACCUGGGAAUUGCGCUUGAAACUAUGCGGCUUGAGUGUGGCAGAGGGGGGUGGAAUUCCACGUGUAGCAGUGAAAUGCGUAGAGAUGUGGAGGAACACCGAUGGCGAAGGCAGCCCCCUGGGCCAACACUGACGCUCAGGCACGAAAGCGUGGGGAGCAAACAGGAUUAGAUACCCACGUAGUCCCUGAGCGGGCUGGCAAGGCGCAU
Molecule: ribosomal RNA, 473 nt
Filed under: uncultured bacterium
Lineage: Bacteria
Description: bacterial SSU rRNA
Rfam family: Bacterial small subunit ribosomal RNA
Source: RNAcentral